AAGGAGCUCCAGCAAGCAGGUCCGCCUACUCUCCUUUCCCCUAAGCUCCUGCAACUACACAAAUCAUCUUCCUGGUAUUUUCUCACUUUUGAUUCACAGACUAUGUAUUGUAGUUAGUUCUGGUGAUUAUCAAUUGAUCUAAGACCACUGUACGUGCAUACUCAGACUUGAGAAGAAUGCACAUAGCCUUGCUGAGAACAUAAUAUUGUUUCGAUGAUUAUCUUGUUUGUGCGCUUGUUUUGAUAAAACACAGGGGUUAUAGAGGAAUUGAAACAUGUUACAUUGAAAUCAGAGAGCAUGUCAUUGUUGCUUAAUUCUGUUAAUCGUGGCUGUCACUGUAUACCUUGAGAUUCAGGUAGAAGCAAUAGAAUGCAGGAAAAAAAUACCUACCUGCAUGUGUUCCUUAGAGAGUUUGUUUUCUUCAUAUAUAUGGCCAUCUCUGUUCUGGAUAUCACACUCGACGACCUCUUUUCAUGGCACAAAACUGAAACUUGUUGAAAUAUAUUGCCCGUCUCCCUCCAUCAGUUCGGAUUUUUGGAUGAGUUGGUCGGUGCACGAAUUCAAUAUGGUAUCAGAGCCAAGAGAUCUUGAGUUCAAGACCCUGCCAACGCAGUAUUAAAUAAAGCGAUUCUGCGGCCUACAUCGAUCCCACGUCUAAGGACUAAAAUAGCCUAGACGUGAGGGGGAGUGUUGAAAUAUAUUGCCUGCCUCCCUCCAUCAGUUUGGACUUUUGGAUGAGUUGGCUGGAGCAUGAAUUCAAUAAAACUACGCCAUGAAUAUAUUUAUUCAGUGAAAUAGCUGAUUCCAGUCAUUCAUCAACUAGCUUUGUUUUAAUCACAGCAAUAAGUCAUGAUAUCUUGAAAUUGCCUGAUUGGUGAUUAUACAUUUUAUAUGAUGUUUUUCACCUGCAAGCUCUGCACUUCUCUCCUUUCAGCUUUAUCUCUCUUGCUUCAUUUCAUGAAUAUAUUCCUCUUCUCAUUCCAUCAUUCAGUCUGUUUGCAACAAAAUCCUCAUUCAGUCUGUUUUUUUAAAUGCUUGGCACAUCCUAAACAAAAUCCUGAUUAAACGAUAGGCUUGGCAUAUCUUUUUUAUCACUAUGGUUGCUUUUGUCCGCAACUGAUUUCUCUAAAUCCUCCAUGUUGUAAUGCAAUUGUUUUGGGCAAUUCCCCAAGGCCUUAUGUUUUAUGUUAUUGGGAACUGCAGGACACCCAGCAAGUGUUUAGGAUCCCACACACGGCAGUUCUUGGCAUGCUCCUAGCACACCUUGGACUAUCACUGGCUCAGUAUGAACGCGUUGUUCAUGAGGACGGCAAGGCCCAUGUUGUAAAUUGUCUGUAAGCGACGUGUUGCCGUAUCUUCUAUGCCUAAAACGUCUGUAAGCGACGUGUUGUCGUAUCUUCUAUGCCUAAACGUCUACGUUAUGCCUAAA
Molecule: long non-coding RNA, 1429 nt
Filed under: Triticum aestivum (bread wheat)
Lineage: Eukaryota; Viridiplantae; Streptophyta; Magnoliopsida; Poales; Poaceae
Description: long non-coding RNA (TAES_LNC015394)
Source: RNAcentral